Molecule: microRNA precursor, 58 nt
Filed under: Centruroides sculpturatus (bark scorpion)
Lineage: Eukaryota; Metazoa; Arthropoda; Arachnida; Scorpiones; Buthidae
Description: Csc-Mir-2-P2o_pre stem-loop
Source: RNAcentral
CCGUCAAUUUGACUGUGGUCUGUUUUUAUUUAAUCAUAUCACAGCCAUCUUGACGAGU